This 228-nucleotide long non-coding RNA is filed under the name Elaeis guineensis (African oil palm). RNAcentral's name for it is "long non-coding RNA (EGUI_LNC061048)". The record is from RNAcentral. Lineage: Eukaryota; Viridiplantae; Streptophyta; Magnoliopsida; Arecales; Arecaceae.
UUGAAGACCCACUUACACCCUAUGGGUUUAACCCCUUCAUAUGGGUCAACUAAUGUCUAUACAUCAUUGACCUUCAUGGACUCUAUUUCAGAUUUUAUGGCUUCAAACCAUUUAUAAGAGUCGAACCUCUUUAUUGUAUCCAAAUAGGUGAUCAGAUCCUCAUUGUUCUCAUCGAGUUCAACAGGAUCCCUGUCCCAGACCAAAAAAUCAUAGUAUCCAUUCGAUUGA